UACGAAGGGGGCUAGCGUUGUUCGGAAUUACUGGGCGUAAAGGGCGCGUAGGCGGUGUGUCAAGUCAGGCGUGAAAGCCCCGGGCUCAACCUGGGAACAGCGCUUGAGACUGGCACGCUCGAGUUCGGGAGAGGAUGGUGGAAUUCCCAGUGUAGAGGUGAAAUUCGUAGAUAUUCGGAAGAACACCAGUGGCGAAGGCGGCUCACUGGUCCGGUACUGACGCUGAUGUGCGAAAGCGUGGGGAGCAAACAGG
RNAcentral lists this ribosomal RNA (253 nucleotides) under uncultured bacterium. RNAcentral's name for it is "partial 16S ribosomal RNA". It matches the Rfam family "Bacterial small subunit ribosomal RNA", at positions 524 to 776 of the family's 1533-position model. The record is from RNAcentral.